UUAACUGAAAUUUGUAUGGAGUUGGAUCGUUUGCCUACGUUUGCCGCUAGGGGCGCUGUUCCAACUUUAUACAAAUUUGAGAUA
This is a non-coding RNA of Bombyx mori (domestic silkworm), 84 nucleotides long. Lineage: Eukaryota; Metazoa; Arthropoda; Insecta; Lepidoptera; Bombycidae. The record is from Rfam.